GUUUAUAUAGUUUAUGAAAACAUUCCAUUUUCAAUGGAAAGAUAAGAGUAUCUUUAUAAA
RNAcentral lists this transfer RNA (60 nucleotides) under Rubellomiris bispinosus. Its description in RNAcentral is "tRNA-Glu". It matches the Rfam family "tRNA". From Rfam's summary of the family: Transfer RNA (tRNA) molecules are approximately 80 nucleotides in length. The record is from RNAcentral. Lineage: Eukaryota; Metazoa; Arthropoda; Insecta; Hemiptera; Miridae.